RNAcentral lists this transfer RNA (43 nucleotides) under Elasmotherium sibiricum. RNAcentral's name for it is "partial tRNA-Phe". The record is from RNAcentral. Lineage: Eukaryota; Metazoa; Chordata; Mammalia; Perissodactyla; Rhinocerotidae.
GGCACUGAAAAUGCCUAAAUGGGUUACACCAACCCCAUAAACA